AGCUCCAAUAGCGUAUAUUUAAGUUGUUGCAGUUAAAAAGCUCGUAGUUGGAUUUUGGGUGGGUUCUAGCGGUCCGCCUAUGGUGAGUACUGCUAUGGCCUUCCUUUCUGUCGGGGACAGGCUCCCGGCCUUAAUUGUCCGGGAUCUGGAGCUGACACUGUUACUUUGAGUAAAUUAGAGUGUUCAAAGCAGGCUUUCGCCCUGAAUACUUUAGCAUGGAAUAACACGAUAGGACUCUGGCCUAUCUUGUUGGUCUGUAGGACCGGAGUAAUGAUUAAGAGGGACAGUCGGGGGCAUUCGUAUUUCAUUGUCAGAGGUGAAAUUCUUGGAUUUAUGAAAGACGAACUACUGCGAAAGCAUUUGCCAAGGAUGUUUUCA
Molecule: ribosomal RNA, 378 nt
Filed under: uncultured eukaryote
Lineage: Eukaryota
Description: SSU rRNA
Rfam family: Eukaryotic small subunit ribosomal RNA
Source: RNAcentral